UUAACUAUUAUAUAGUACUCGGACGACACUGUAAGACAGGGUUUAAGGGGUCUCUGGCGGGCGCGCACCAGCCGGGGCCGGUGGCCAAAAAGGCGGCCCGCCAAAGCAACAAAGGCAAUGUAUACAUAGGGUGGGAGGUCUACCCCGAAGGGCAUGAACUCUGUAAUGAUCCUUCCGCAGGUUCACCUACGGAAA
Molecule: unclassified non-coding RNA, 195 nt
Filed under: uncultured fungus
Lineage: Eukaryota; Fungi
Description: sequence contains ITS1
Source: RNAcentral